RNAcentral lists this ribosomal RNA (483 nucleotides) under uncultured bacterium. RNAcentral's name for it is "partial 16S ribosomal RNA". It matches the Rfam family "Bacterial small subunit ribosomal RNA", at positions 28 to 523 of the family's 1533-position model. The record is from RNAcentral.
GACGAACGCUGGCGGCGUGCUUAACACAUGCAAGUCGAACGGUGAAAGCGGAGCUUGCUCCGCUGGAUCAGUGGCGAACGGGUGAGUAACACGUGGGCAACCUGCCCCUCACUUCGGGAUAACUCCGGGAAACCGGGGCUAAUACCGGAUAUGACCUCCUUGGGCAUCCUUGGAGGUGGAAAGUUUUUCGGUGAGGGAUGGGCCCGCGGCCUAUCAGCUUGUUGGUGAGGUAGUGGCUCACCAAGGCGACGACGGGUAGCCGGCCUGAGAGGGCGACCGGCCACACUGGGACUGAGACACGGCCCAGACUCCUACGGGAGGCAGCAGUGGGGAAUAUUGCGCAAUAGGCGAAAGCCUGACGCGGCAACGCCGCGUGCGGGAUGACGGCCUUCGGGUUGUAAACCUCUUUUAGCAGGGAAGAAGCGAAAGUGACGGUACCUGCAGAAAAAGCACCGGCUAACUACGUGCCAGCAGCCGCCGUAA